UACGAAGGGUGCAAGCGUUACUCGGAAUUAUUGGGCGUAAAGCGCGCGCAGGCGGUCCUUUAAGUCUGAUGUGAAAGCCCACGGCUCAACCGUGGAGGGUCAUUGGAAACUGGGGGACUUGAGUACAGAAGAGGAAAGCGGAAUUCCACGUGUAGCGGUGAAAUGCGUAGAGAUGUGGAGGAACACCAGUGGCGAAGGCGGCUUUCUGGUCUGUAACUGACGCUGAGGCGCGAAAGCCAGGGGAGCAAACGGG
RNAcentral lists this ribosomal RNA (253 nucleotides) under uncultured bacterium. Its description in RNAcentral is "partial 16S ribosomal RNA". It matches the Rfam family "Bacterial small subunit ribosomal RNA", at positions 524 to 776 of the family's 1533-position model. The record is from RNAcentral.